UUUAAGAACAACGUUUCUCAAAGCACAAUUGCAAGGAAUUUAGGGAUUUCAACACCAACGGUCCAUCAUAUCAUCAAAAAGUUCAGAGAAUCUGGAGAAAUCACUGCACGUAAGUGGCACGGCUGGAAACCAACAUUGAAUGCCUGUGACCUUCGAUCCCUCAGGUGGCACUGUAUCAAAAACUGACAUCAAUGUGUAAAGGAUAUCACCAUAUGGGCUCAGGAACACUUCAGAAAACCACUGUCAGUAAAUACAGAAAUUGUCGCUACAUCUGUAAGUGCAAGUUAAAACUCUACUAUACAAAGCAUAAGCCAUUUAUCAACAACAUCCAGAAACACCGUCAGCUUCUCUAGACCCAAGUUCAUUUAAGAUGGACUGAUGCAAAGUUAAAAAGUGUUCUGUGGUCUGACGAGUCCACAUUUCAAAUUGUUUUUGGAAAUAGUGGACGUUGUGUCCUCCUGGCCAACGAGGAAAAGAACCAUUUGGACUGUUAUCGAUGCAAAGUUCAAAAGCCAGCAUCUGUGAUGGUAUGGGGAUGCAUUAGUGCCCAAGGCAUGGGUACAGUGCAUCCGGAAAGUAUUCAUACCACUUCACUUUUUCCACAUUUUGUUAUGGUACAGCCUUAUUCCAAAAUGGAUUAAAUUCCUUUUUUCCCUCAAAAAUUCUACACAAAAUACCCCAUAUUGACAAAGCGAAAAACUUUUUUUAGAUCAUUUUGCAAAUUUGUUAAAAAUAAGACACUGAAAUGUUGCAAAUACAUAAGUACUCACACCCUUUGCUAUAAAACUCAAAAUUGAGCUCAGAUGCAUCCUGUUUCCUCUGAUCAGCCUUGAAAUGUUCCUCCAACUUGAAUGCAGUCCACCUGUGGCAAAUUCAGCUGAUUGGACAUGAUUUGGAAAGCCACACCUGUCUAUAUAAGAUCCCACAGCUGACAGAGCACGUCAGAGCACAAACCAAGCCAUGAAGUCGAAAAAAUUGUCUGUAGACCUUCGAAUCAGGGUUGUAUCGGUGUACAGAUCUGGGGAAGGUUACAGAAAAAUAUCUGCUGCAUUGAAGAUCCCAAAAAGCACAGUGGUCACCAUCAUUAAGAAAUGGAAGACGUUUGGAACCACCAGGACUCAUCCUAGAGCUGGCCGCCCAGCUAAAAUGAGGAAGCAGGGGAGAAGGGCCUUGGUCAGGGAGGUGACCAAGAACCCGAUGGUCACUCUGACAGAGCUCCAGCAUUCCUCUGAGGAGAUGGGAGAACCCUACAGAAGGACCACCAUCUCUGCAGCACUCCACCAGUCAGGCAUUUAUGGUAGAGUGGCCAGACAGAAGCCACUCCUCAGUAAAAAGUACAUGACAGCCCGCUUGGACUUUGCUAGAAGGCACUUGAAGGACUCACAGACCAGGAGAAACAAAAUUAUCUGGUCUGAUGAAACGAAGAUCGAACUCUUUGGCCUGAAUGCCAAGCGUCAUGUCUGGAGGAAACCAGGCACCGCUCACCACCUCGCCAAUACCAUCCCUACAGUGAAGCAUGGUGGUGGCAGCAUCAUGCUGUGGGGGUGUUUUUCAGCGGCAGGAACUGGGAGACUUGUCAGGAUCGAGGGCAAAAAGAAUGCAGCUAAGUACAUUGAAAUCCUUGAUGAAAACCUGCUCCAGAGCGCUCGAGACCUUGGACUUGGGCGACACUUCAUCUUCCAGCAUGACAAUGACCCUUAGCACACGGUCAAGAAGACAAAGGAGUGGCUUCAGGACAAGUCUCUGAAUGUCUUUGAGUGGCCCAGCCAGAGCCCAGACUUGAACCCGAUUGAACAUCUUUGGAAAGACCUGAAAGUAGCUGUGCACCGACGCUGCCCAUCCAACCUCACUGAGCUUGAGAGGAUGUGCAAGGAAGAAUAAGAAAAACUCCCCAAAUCCAGAUGUGCCAAGCUUGUUGCAUCAUACACAAGAAGACUGGAGGCUGUAAUCACUGCCAAAGGUGCUUCGACCAAGUAUUGAGUAAAGGGUGUGAAUACUUAUGUAUAUGCAACAUUUGAGUGUUCUUAUUUUUAAUAAAUUUGCAAAAUGUUCUAAAAAAAGUCUUUUGCUUUGUCAUUAUGGGGUAUUUUGUGUAGAAUUUUUGAGGGAAAAAGGGAAUUUAAUCCAUUUUGGAAUAAGGCUGUAACAUAACAAAAUGUGGAAAAAGUGAAGUGGUAUGAAUACUUUCCGGAUGCACUGUAACUUGCACAUCCAUGAAGGCAACAUUAAUGCUGAAAGGUACAUACAGGUUUUCAACAUAUGCUGCCAUCCAAGCAAUGUCUUUUUCAUGGAAGCCCCUGCUUAUUUCAGCAAGACAAUGCCAAGCCACAUUCUGCACAUGUUGCAACAGUGUGGCUUCGUAGUAAAAGAAUGCGGGUACUUGACUGGCCUGCCUGCAGUCCAGACCUGUCUCCCAUUGAAAAUGUGUGGCGCAUUAUGAAUCUAGAAAUAUGACAACAAGACCCUGGGCUGUUGAACAACUGAAGCUGUACAUCAAACAAGAAUGGGAAAGAAUUCCACCUGCAAAGCUUCAACAAUUAGUCUCCUCAGUUCCCAAACGUUUAUUGAGCAUUGUUAAAAGGAAAGGUGAUGCAACAAAGUGGUAAACAUGUCCUUGUCCCAACUACUUUGGCACGUGUUGCAGCCAUGAAAUUCUGAGUUAAUUAUUAUUUGCAAAAAAAAAUAAAAUUUAUUAGUCUGAACAUUAAAUAUCUUGUCUUUGUAGUGUAUUCAAUUAAAUAUAGGUUGAAAAGGAUUUACAAAUCAUUGUAUUCUGUUUUUAUUCACGUUUAUCACAAUUUCCCAACUUCAAUGGAAUUGUGUUUUGUAUUAAAUACUAAUAGAUCCCUACUUUUAUCAAUCACUGUCCUGGUUACUUAAACAAUGCACCAUGCUGUAACACUGAUAUAUCUGUGUAUUUGUCAGUCAAGUCACUGCCAAGGCUGUUGCUGUUUGAACCAACACAAAAUAAACAUCCCAAAUGCACUAUGUGUCAAAGUUUAUUCCCUCUAAAUCUGCAUUUGUGCCUAGAUUGUGGGUCUCUUCAUGACUUUCCUAGUCAAAGAGCCAUUCACAGCUUAUCGCAAUGCUGCUUCGUAACUUAGUCACAGCAAUAACAAAAUCUUGUUGCCACAGGCACAAUCAUCUGUUGGAGUUCUUGAAAAUUGGGUCAUCAAAUGAAUAGAGACCUGGGGAAUAUCACUCCAAACAUGGCAAGUCUUUAGGUAUUGUACCCAAGGAAAUGUCUCUGUCCUGUCUCUGCCGAAUCACUGAGGGAAGAGCAGCUCAUCAUGUCAUGUCUCUUCAAUGACCUAUUGGGAAAGAGUUAUUCUGAUGUAUUGCAUGGGUACAAAAAAGAUUUUAAGUUCUUAUGCCACUGUCUGCAAAACCUGUACACUAGAGGUCAUCUGAUUACCUUUGCAUUUAAUGCAAUAAUUAGUGUAAAUAAAAUGCAAUUCAACUCAAAUUCAACUUUAUUUAUAUGGCACUUUUCAUACAAGACUGUAACACAAAGUGCCUCACAAAGGCUAAAAACAACAAUAAAACCCAACCCUCCCAUCCACACACACACACCCAUAGACCCACACACACACAAAGACACACACCCACCCUCACCAACCCAUACAUACACCCACAAGCACACACAAGAUAUAUUGUUCAAGAGACAUGGCUUGAAACCGAAACAUUGCAUGAGGAAAGAGCUACCUUUGGGAAACACUGGAGAUAAAAAGAUAAAAAUGGUACAAAGAAAGAGUAACACCUGGUGGGCUAAGACAAGAAGAAAUUAUAAAAUGAACAAAUAAGUAAGAGCUUUUUACCAUGUAAAAGGGGUAAAAGAAGUAUAUACCUCAUUUGAGGGGUUAUUAAAAAGCAUAAGAACAGAGAUAAUUAAUUAAAAAACAUAAAACAAACAUUAAGCAUUUUGAUUGCAAUAACCUGUAGCAAAAAAGAAAUAAGACAAGGCUAUCAGUAAAAAGCCUGGUUAAAAAGGUGAGUCUUGAGCCUCUUCUUAAAAACAUCAACUGUCUGUGCCGGAAAGCCUCGGGGUAAGGUUAAAAGGCCUGUGCUGGCGGACCUCAGGGUCAGCGAGGGUUGAUAUGAUAAAAGUAAGUCAGAUCAAUAGGAGGGGCCAAGACCAUUAUUACAUCUAAUAAAAGAACCUUAAAAAUCAAUCCUGAAAUAUUUAUUCAAAUUCAAAAUUCAAAUGAUGCGCUUGAACCCCCCCAGUCUUAUCUCAGUCCACAUUCAGUAAUAAUCAAACCAACAGCCAGAAAUCUGGGAGUAACCAUCGAUUCAGACCUCACCUUCUCCACCCACAUCAACAAGAUUGUCCAGUCCUGUUUCCUUCACCUGCGUUCUAUUGCAAAGAUUAAACAGAUACCCACUCCACCAGAUCUCGAAAAGAUAAUCCACGCUUUCAUUUUCUCAAGACUGGACUAUUGUAACUCUCUCCUCCCUGGUUUAAACAAGAAAUCACUCUCUUGCCUCCAACUAGUUCAGAAUGCAGCAGCUAGGCUUUUAACUGGUUUUAGCAGACGGCAUCACAUCACUCCAAUUUUAGCCUCCCUUCACUGGCUUCCUGUCAGUUUUAGAAUUGAUUUUAAGAUUUUAUUGAUCAAUUUUAAAGCGCUUAAAGGACUUGCUCCGAGCUACAUUUCAAAGCUUUUAAUAACUUAUGAGCCAACUCCCAGCCUCAGAUCCUCUGGCGAAGGCCUCCUAGUCGUUCCAAAGUCAAGGCUCAAAACUAAAGGUGAUAGAGCUUUCUCCAUCAGAGCUCCUCGACUUUGGAACGACCUGCCAGAGAAGAUAAGGUGUGCAGAGACAGUCGCUUCUUUUAAGUCAAAUUUAAAAACUCACUUUUACAGACUUGCUUUUAUGUGAUGCCGUCUUUUACCUUUUUUCUCCUUUUUCUUUUAUCUCUUAUUUCGACUUGCUAUCCUUUUAGCCUUUGUUUUACUUAUAAUCUUUUCUUAUUUUACCUCUUAGGUCCUUGAUGUUUUUUUUUUAUUAUUCCAUUUUAUCAUUGGAAAAAGAAAAGAAGAUAGGGAAUAAUCUACAACACAGCAACAUCCGUGAAGUGUGGAGAGGAAUCAGUACCAUCUCUGGACACAGCAGUCAAAAGAAAAGACAGUCAGUGGUGGGUGAUGUGAAAAGAGCUGAUGAACUUAACCUGUUCUUCAACAGAUUUGACACUGCUGUCACUCCCACUUGCACUGCUACUCCACCUUCCUCUCCGCAACAAAUUUCCACUACAACUUCUCCCCUUCCUCCUCCAUCUCCUUCAAAUUUCUCAACCACUUCAACUGCCUCCCUCCUAGAACACCAGUUCUUGUCUGUCACCGAAACAGGGAGUUUGGAGGACUUUGUCCCGGGAAGGCAGCUGGUCCAGAUGGUGUGUGUCCACGGCUGCUUAGAGACUGUGCUGCAGAACUGUGUCAACCUCUCCACAAGAUCUUCAACCUGAGUCCACAGCUGGGGCGGGUACCUGCUCUGUGGAAAACAUCCUGCAUUGUGCCAGUACCAAAAACAGAAUGUCCUGCUAAGCUCAAUGACUACAGACCAGUGGCCCUCACUUCACACAUCAUGAAAACCCUGGAGCGGCUGAUUCUACGCCUUCUGAGGUCUGAGGUCAAAGACAAACUGGACUCCCUGCAGUUUGCUUACAAAGAACACAUUGGAGUGGAUGAUGCUGUCCUCUACAUGCUUCACCCUGCCCUGCCUCAUCUGGAGGAACCUGGGGUUUAUGUGAGGACCAUGUUCUUCGACUUUUCAAGUGCAUUCAACACCAUCCAACCCACCAUACUCAAAGACAAUCUCACAGAGAUGGCAGACUUCAAAUACAGUACUGAGUCCUGCCACAUCCAGAAAUACUCAGAUGACACCGCUAUUGUGGUAUGUAUCAGAAAUGGACAAGAAGCUGAGUACAGAGCUCUAAUUAGAGCCUUCAGUGACUGGAGUCACAAAAGCUGCCUCCUCCUCAACACCUCAAAGACAAAGGAGAUGGUCAUAGACUUCUGUAGAUCCAAACCCCCUCUUCAGCCAGUGAACACCUGUGGAGUGGACAUAGAAGUGAUGACAUCAUAUAAAUACCUAGGUGUACAUCUGGAUAAUAAGUUGGAUUGGUCUGAGAAUAUAGACUACAUCUACAGAAAUGGGCAAAGCCGCCUCUUUUGCCUGAGAAGACUCUGAUCAGUAGACAUCUGUAGUAAGAUGCUGCAGAUGUUUUAUCAGUCUGUGGUGACAAGUGUGCUGUUCGACGCUGCAGUCUGCUGGGGAGGAAGCAUCAAACACAAAGAUGCAAGACGUCUUAACAAGUUGGUGAAAAAGGCUGGCUCUGUGGUAGCACUCAAGCUGGACUCAGUAGAGGAUGUGGUGGAGAGAUCUACACUGAGGAAGGUGGAGAUUAUUCUCAAGAACAUGGAUCACCCACUUCACAACACCUUGAUGGACCAAAGGGCAAAUGGUGGUGGACAGCUCCUCU
Molecule: non-coding RNA, 6481 nt
Organism: Xyrichtys novacula (pearly razorfish)
Lineage: Eukaryota; Metazoa; Chordata; Actinopteri; Labriformes; Labridae
Source: the annotation of a GenBank genome assembly